GAGGGUAGAGCUCAGUAGCACAGCUCAUGCCUAGCAUGCAUGAGGUCUUGGGUUCAAUUCCCAGUACCUCUA
RNAcentral lists this transfer RNA (72 nucleotides) under Camelus bactrianus (Bactrian camel). It matches the Rfam family "tRNA". Rfam says of the family: Transfer RNA (tRNA) molecules are approximately 80 nucleotides in length. The record is from Rfam by way of RNAcentral. RNAcentral also lists the same sequence under 1 other name. Lineage: Eukaryota; Metazoa; Chordata; Mammalia; Artiodactyla; Camelidae.